RNAcentral lists this ribosomal RNA (301 nucleotides) under uncultured bacterium. Its description in RNAcentral is "partial 16S ribosomal RNA". It matches the Rfam family "Bacterial small subunit ribosomal RNA", at positions 509 to 808 of the family's 1533-position model. The record is from RNAcentral.
CAGUAGCCGCGGGAAUACGUAGGUCCCGAGCGUUGUCCGGAUUUAUUGGGCGUAAAGCGAGCGCAGGCGGUUAGAUAAGUCUGAAGUUAAAGGCUGUGGCUUAACCAUAGUACGCUUUGGAAACUGUUUAACUUGAGUGCAAGGGGGGAGAGUGGAAUUCCAUGUGUAGCGGUGAAAUGCGUAGAGAUGUGGAGGAACACCAGUGGCGAAGGCGACUCUCUGGUCUGUAACUGACGCUGAGGAGCGAAAGCGUGGGGAGCGAACAGGAUUAGAUACCCCGGUAGUCCCUGUCUCUUAUACA